UACGUAGGGUGCAAGCGUUGUCCGGAAUUAUUGGGCGUAAAGAGCUCGUAGGCGGUUUGUCGCGUCGAAUGUGAAAACCCGGGGCUCAACCCCGGGCCUGCAUUCGAUACGGGCAGACUAGAGUUCGGUAGGGGAGUCUGGAAUUCCUGGUGUAGCGGUGAAAUGCGCAGAUAUCAGGAGGAACACCGGUGGCGAAGGCGGCCGGCUGGGGGUGCCCUGACGCUGAGGCGCGAAAGCGUGGGGAGCGAUCCGG
This 253-nucleotide ribosomal RNA is filed under the name uncultured bacterium. Its description in RNAcentral is "partial 16S ribosomal RNA". It matches the Rfam family "Bacterial small subunit ribosomal RNA", at positions 524 to 776 of the family's 1533-position model. The record is from RNAcentral.